CACAGGUCUUCUAAUCUAGGGCAUCCUCAGUUAACGGAUCAUCAUUGUGAGAUCACUCAACUGGUUACUGCUGCCAGCUCUGCUCUCCAUUAAGUGUCCUUGUUGAGUUUGCCUCCAGUGACAGCUGGAGCAAGAACACAGUCAUCUGGGGCCACAUCUCGCUGACACUGGCUCAGUGACCAGGAUCCUUCCUGUGAGCCAAACCCAACCAGAAGCUGGAGGGAACAGGAGUCAGUUCCAUUAAGAUCAGCCACUGGGGACAGAGAUCCAGGUGGAGAAUGCUGAAGAAAGCAUCUGGAUGUGCAAAGUUGCCUGAGGGAUUCUGCUGCUUUUGAAGCCCAGUCCAGUCCAGUGUGCCUCGCUGGCACUGCCACAUCAACCCAAUUCUCGGUCUCCUCUCCAGGCAAUGUCAUUUGGCAAAGUUAAUACACUUGCUGGUUGGUCUGGGCUCUUCUCCACUGCAGCCUUCCAAUGAGUGCCAGCCGUCUUUCUCAGCAAAGCGAAUUUGUUCAUCUGUUUACGUGUCAGAGCUUUCUAUUGCACUCAAGUGUCCGCACUUAGGACUCAAUUACCAGGCAUAACAAGAAUCAACUGUAUAUUUCUCCUUCCACUCACUAAUCAACUUCUCCAGAAAGUGGUUUUCACUCGAAACCUCUAUUUCAUCACAAUACUUCCUGCCAGAAUAUUUUAUUAUCUGACUCACAUCUGCACCCUACGACAUUCUCAGAACCCAAGAGAGAAAUUCCGCCAGACCUCAGGACAGGGGGAAUGAGGGACCCCCUCAGGACUCUCAGCUGCCUUCUGAGUGUCAGUGUCCUUCUUCCCUCUCUCCCUUUGCAGUUUGACCUUCUCUGGACUUUUUGGUCUAUAUGGAAGAAGAAUGGCAGCCAAAGCCAUUGAGUUUUACAUCCUCCCAUCCAAUUAACUGAAGACAGACUGACUCUCUUCUUGGUUCCGUAUAUCCUGAGAAAGACUUAGGACCCAGGUUGGGUCAGGUGCUGCAACCCUGGAUAUUCAGCUGAGGCUGGUAUGUGUGUGUGUG
This 1042-nucleotide long non-coding RNA is filed under the name Equus asinus (donkey). RNAcentral's name for it is "lncRNA (ENSEASG00005028981.1)". The record is from RNAcentral. Lineage: Eukaryota; Metazoa; Chordata; Mammalia; Perissodactyla; Equidae.